This 376-nucleotide ribosomal RNA is filed under the name uncultured Gammaproteobacteria bacterium. Its description in RNAcentral is "bacterial SSU rRNA". It matches the Rfam family "Bacterial small subunit ribosomal RNA", at positions 521 to 896 of the family's 1533-position model. The record is from RNAcentral. Lineage: Bacteria; Pseudomonadati; Pseudomonadota; Gammaproteobacteria.
UAAUACUGAGGGUGCAAGCGUUAAUCGGAAUUACUGGGCGUAAAGCGCGCGUAGGCGGUUUGGUCAGUCAGAUGUGAAAGCCCCGGGCUUAACCUGGGAACUGCAUUUGAAACUGCCAGACUAGAGUGUGGUAGAGGGAAGUGGAAUUCCGCGUGGAGCGGUGAAAUGCGUAGAGAUGCGGAGGAACACCAGUGGCGAAGGCGACUUCCUGGACCAACACUGACGCUCAGGUGCGAAAGCGUGGGGAGCAAACAGGAUUAGAUACCCUGGUAGUCCACGCCGUAAACGAUGUCUACUAGCCGUUGGGGAGCUUGUCUCCAUAGUGGCGCAGCUAACGCGAUAAGUAGACCGCCUGGGGAGUACGGUCGCAAGACUA